ACCCGCGUACAUGCCACCGGGGCAUCCCGGAGGCAGGAAAGGCUUCGGCCGGACAGGGAUGGGCAUGCGGCGCAUUAGGCAGUAGGCGGGGUAACGGCCCACCUAACCGACGAUGCGUAGGGGUUCUGAGAGGAAGGUCCCCCACACUGGUACUGAGACACGGACCAGACUCCUACGGGAGGCAGCAGUGAGGAAUAUUGGUCAAUGGUCGGGAGACUGAACCAGCCAAGCCGCGUGAGGGAGGAAGGUACAGAGUAUCGUAAACCUCUUUUGUCAGGGAACAAAGACUGGGACGCGUCCCCGGAUGAGUGUACCUGAAGAAAAAGCAUCGGCUAACUCCGUGCCAGCAGCCGCGGUAAUACGGAGGAUGCGAGCGUUAUCCGGAUUUAUUGGGUUUAAAGGGUGCGCAGGCGGUCUGUUAAGUCAGCGGUCAAAGCCCGGGGCUCAACCCCGGCCCGCCGUUGAAACUGGCAGUCUCGAGUUGGAGAGAAGUAUGCGGAAUGCGCGGUGUAGCGGUGAAAUGCAUAGAUAUCGCGCAGAACUCCGAUUGCGAAGGCAGCAUGCCGGCUCCACACUGACGCUGAGGCACGAAAGCGUGGGUAUCGAACAGGAUUAGAUACCCUGGUAGUCCACGCAGUAAACGA
RNAcentral lists this ribosomal RNA (644 nucleotides) under uncultured bacterium. RNAcentral's name for it is "bacterial SSU rRNA". It matches the Rfam family "Bacterial small subunit ribosomal RNA", at positions 167 to 809 of the family's 1533-position model. The record is from RNAcentral.